AGUGAACGCUGGCGGUAGGCCUAACACAUGCCAGUCGAACGGCAGCACAGUAAGAGCUUGCUCUUACGGGUGGCGAGUGGCGGACGGGUGAGGAAUACAUCGGAAUCUACUUUUUCGUGGGGGAUAACGUAGGGAAACUUACGCUAAUACCGCAUACGACCUACGGGUGAAAGCAGGGGAUCUUCGGACCUUGCGCGAUUGAAUGAGCCGAUGUCGGAUUAGCUAGUUGGCGGGGUAAAGGCCCACCAAGGCGACGAUCCGUAGCUGGUCUGAGAGGAUGAUCAGCCACACUGGAACUGAGACACGGUCCAGACUCCUACGGGAGGCAGCAGUGGGGAAUAUUGGACAAUGGGCGCAAGCCUGAUCCAGCCAUACCGCGUGGGUGAAGAAGGCCUUCGGGUUGUAAAGCCCUUUUGUUGGGAAAGAAAAGCAGCAGGUUAAUACCCUGCUGUUCUGACGGUACCCAAAGAAUAAGCACCGGCUAACUUCGUG
This 492-nucleotide ribosomal RNA is filed under the name uncultured bacterium. RNAcentral's name for it is "partial 16S ribosomal RNA". It matches the Rfam family "Bacterial small subunit ribosomal RNA", at positions 29 to 507 of the family's 1533-position model. The record is from RNAcentral.